Molecule: unclassified non-coding RNA, 231 nt
Filed under: Hevea brasiliensis (rubber tree)
Lineage: Eukaryota; Viridiplantae; Streptophyta; Magnoliopsida; Malpighiales; Euphorbiaceae
Source: RNAcentral
UGAAGUAUUAACCGUUAUGUAUGGAGGUGAACAUUCAGCAAUUUCAUCGGACAAUGUUACAAAGUUCUUCCGUUAACAUCAGUAUAUCGUCCUCGCUAAGGUAACUCCCAUACAAUUGCAUCGGAAUGUAGUUCAUUAUUGGAAAGAGAAGAAAAGUGAAGAUAGUAGAGUAACAUUUUGUUACAUCCUAAUUUAUUGUCAGAUUUUGGUUGAUUGAUUAUAGAUUUAUAG